UAGGGAAUAUUGCACAAUGGACGAAAGUCUGAUGCAGCAACGCCGCGUGUGCGAUGAAGGCCUUCGGGUUGUAAAGCACUUUUAUGAGGGAAGAGCAAGGACUGUACCUCAUGAAUAAGGAUCGGCUAACUACGUGCCAGCAGCCGCGGUAACACGUAGGAUCCAAGCGUUAUCCGGAUUUACUGGGCGUAAAGCGUGUGUAGGUGGUUUGCUAAGUUGGGUGUUAAAUCUCUCGGCUCAACUGAGAGGUGUCGCUCAAAACUAGUAGACUGGAGGACGGUAGAGGAAGGUAGAAUUCCGGGUGUAGUGGUGAAAUGCGUAGAUAUCCGGAGGAAUACCAGUGGCGAAGGCGGCCUUCUGGACCGUUCCUGACACUCAGACACGAAAGCUAGGGGAGCAAACGGG
Molecule: ribosomal RNA, 405 nt
Filed under: Bacillota bacterium
Lineage: Bacteria; Bacillati; Bacillota
Description: Firmicutes bacterium partial 16S ribosomal RNA
Rfam family: Bacterial small subunit ribosomal RNA
Source: RNAcentral